Molecule: long non-coding RNA, 418 nt
Filed under: Panicum hallii
Lineage: Eukaryota; Viridiplantae; Streptophyta; Magnoliopsida; Poales; Poaceae
Description: long non-coding RNA (PHAL_LNC000835)
Source: RNAcentral
GAGAAGAUCUGGAUGUCUACAACAUUUGAAUAUCGUUACAUAUUUAUCUCUCCCCUGGUUUUCGUUGGUGCUCUGUUUUCUUAAUUGUCAUGAGCCGCUGGCAAGCUAUUUCCUCUUUUGCUUGCAUAAAGGGUGCUACAUCUCUUGAAGACGACGGAAGUGCCUGCUCAUGGACCUGGAUGUCUGUCUCGAGCCGUCGAUGGAUCAAGGAUGGCUGAUCAAGAACCACAACACGAGAUCAUGUAUGGGAAGGCUCGUUUUUAAUGUUUGUUUAAGUGUUUGGCUAGUGUGCAUGUCUGAAUAAAACAUGUGCUACUUAAGUUUCUGGAAUAACUCUAUGGUGAGCUUGGAUUUUUAGUAGUUUGUGAACAUGUAAUGCGAAGAAACCGCAUCUGCUGUUGCAUGCCUUCUGUCACUA